UAAUACAUGCAAGUCGAACGAACUCUGGUAUUGAUUGGUGCUUGCAUCAUGAUUUACAUUUGAGUGAGUGGCGAACUGGUGAGUAACACGUGGGAAACCUGCCCAGAAGCGGGGGAUAACACCUGGAAACAGAUGCUAAUACCGCAUAACAACUUGGACCGCAUGGUCCGAGUUUGAAAGAUGGCUUCGGCUAUCACUUUUGGAUGGUCCCGCGGCGUAUUAGCUAGAUGGUGGGGUAACGGCUCACCAUGGCAAUGAUACGUAGCCGACCUGAGAGGGUAAUCGGCCACAUUGGGACUGAGACACGGCCCAAACUCCUACGGGAGGCAGCAGUAGGGAAUCUUCCACAAUGGACGAAAGUCUGAUGGAGCAACGCCGCGUGAGUGAAGAAGGGUUUCGGCUCGUAAAACUCUGUUGUUAAAGAAGAACAUAUCUGAGAGUAACUGUUCAGGUAUUGACGGUAUUUAACCAGAAAGCCACGGCUAACUACGUGCCAGCAGCCGCGGUAAUACGUAGGUGGCAAGCGUUGUCCGGAUUUAUUGGGCGUAAAGCGAGCGCAGGCGGUUUUUUAAGUCUGAUGUGAAAGCCUUCGGCUCAACCGAAGAAGUGCAUCGGAAACUGGGAAACUUGAGUGCAGAAGAGGACAGUGGAACUCCAUGUGUAGCGGUGAAAUGCGUAGAUAUAUGGAAGAACACCAGUGGCGAAGGCGGCUGUCUGGCUGUAACUGACGCUGAGGCUCGAAA
Molecule: ribosomal RNA, 743 nt
Filed under: Lactiplantibacillus plantarum
Lineage: Bacteria; Bacillati; Bacillota; Bacilli; Lactobacillales; Lactobacillaceae
Description: bacterial SSU rRNA
Rfam family: Bacterial small subunit ribosomal RNA
Source: RNAcentral